UACGUAGGGCGCAAGCGUUGUCCGGAAUUAUUGGGCGUAAAGAGCUCGUAGGCGGCUUGUCACGUCGGGUGUGAAAGCCCGGGGCUUAACCCCGGGUCUGCAUUCGAUACGGGCUAGCUAGAGUGUGGUAGGGGAGAUCGGAAUUCCUGGUGUAGCGGUGAAAUGCGCAGAUAUCAGGAGGAACACCGGUGGCGAAGGCAGGUCUCUGGGCCACUACUGACGCUGAGGAGCGAAAGCAUGGGGAGCGAACAGG
This 253-nucleotide ribosomal RNA is filed under the name uncultured bacterium. RNAcentral's name for it is "partial 16S ribosomal RNA". It matches the Rfam family "Bacterial small subunit ribosomal RNA", at positions 524 to 776 of the family's 1533-position model. The record is from RNAcentral.